UUCAGUGAAAUCAGAGACCGUGCCGGUGAACACGGACUCUGGCCCUUAAAGCUGCUACAUCUGGUCCCUGUUUAAAGUGUCCUGUAACCAUGCCAAUCAGGAAUUAAGGACAGGGACUGUG
Anguilla rostrata (American eel) is the source of this 121-nucleotide small nucleolar RNA. RefSeq annotates it as small nucleolar RNA SNORA5. The transcript has a single exon. Lineage: Eukaryota; Metazoa; Chordata; Actinopteri; Anguilliformes; Anguillidae. The record is from RefSeq and is a predicted model, not a curated record.